Molecule: ribosomal RNA, 1226 nt
Filed under: Bacillus sp. (in: firmicutes)
Lineage: Bacteria; Bacillati; Bacillota; Bacilli; Caryophanales; Bacillaceae
Description: bacterial SSU rRNA
Rfam family: Bacterial small subunit ribosomal RNA
Source: RNAcentral
GGCUAUCAUGCAAGUCGAGCGGACAGAAGGGAGCUUGCUCCCGGAUGUUAGCGGCGGACGGGUGAGUAACACGUGGGUAACCUGCCUGUAAGACUGGGAUAACUCCGGGAAACCGGAGCUAAUACCGGAUAGUUCCUUGAACCGCAUGGUUCAAGGAUGAAAGACGGUUUCGGCUGUCACUUACAGAUGGACCCGCGGCGCAUUAGCUAGUUGGUGAGGUAACGGCUCACCAAGGCGACGAUGCGUAGCCGACCUGAGAGGGUGAUCGGCCACACUGGGACUGAGACACGGCCCAGACUCCUACGGGAGGCAGCAGUAGGGAAUCUUCCGCAAUGGACGAAAGUCUGACGGAGCAACGCCGCGUGAGUGAUGAAGGUUUUCGGAUCGUAAAGCUCUGUUGUUAGGGAAGAACAAGUGCAAGAGUAACUGCUUGCACCUUGACGGUACCUAACCAGAAAGCCACGGCUAACUACGUGCCAGCAGCCGCGGUAAUACGUAGGUGGCAAGCGUUGUCCGGAAUUAUUGGGCGUAAAGGGCUCGCAGGCGGUUUCUUAAGUCUGAUGUGAAAGCCCCCGGCUCAACCGGGGAGGGUCAUUGGAAACUGGGAAACUUGAGUGCAGAAGAGGAGAGUGGAAUUCCACGUGUAGCGGUGAAAUGCGUAGAGAUGUGGAGGAACACCAGUGGCGAAGGCGACUCUCUGGUCUGUAACUGACGCUGAGGAGCGAAAGCGUGGGGAGCGAACAGGAUUAGAUACCCUGGUAGUCCACGCCGUAAACGAUGAGUGCUAAGUGUUAGGGGGUUUCCGCCCCUUAGUGCUGCAGCUAACGCAUUAAGCACUCCGCCUGGGGAGUACGGUCGCAAGACUGAAACUCAAAGGAAUUGACGGGGGCCCGCACAAGCGGUGGAGCAUGUGGUUUAAUUCGAAGCAACGCGAGAACCUUACCAGGUCUUGACAUCCUCUGACACCUAGAGAUAGGGCUUCCCUUCGGGGACAGAGUGAACAGUGGUGCAUGGUUGUCGUCAGCUCCGUGUCGUGAGAUGUGGGUUAGUCCCGCAACGAGCGCAACCCUGAUCUUAGUUGCAGCAUUCAGCUGGGCACUCUAAGUAACUGGCGUGACCACCGGAGAGGUGGGAUGACGUCAAUCAUCAUGCCCUUAUGACCUGCUACACACGUCUACAUUGGCAGACAGGGUUCGCGCAGACCGCAAGGCUGAGCAAUUCGCACA